GCAGGAGAGAAGGAAGACCCUAGCUGCUCUCUGCGCAGGACUGUGAUUUGCAUAUUGCAGGACCUGGGCCCAGGUGGUGAGACCGGAGGUGCCAUCGUGCUUGACGUCUGUGUGGCCGGCCAGCUGGACCAUUGCGCUCAGCCACACUCAGCUCCAGGAGGCCACAGAUCUCUGACUCAGAUCUCGGCGAGUAGCCCUGACAUCUAUUACCCCAGAAAGAGAUUUGAUAUCGGGCCUAAUGGCUUUUCUGAGCUGAGCCAGUUCAGAAGAGAAGUUGUGACUGAGACCAGGAGAGGGUCAGAAGCCCCCUGGAUGCACCAUGCAAAGUGGGUCCACAGGAGGGGAAAAGGUAGGAGGCCACUUUUGCUUUCUUUGUACAUUGUACUCUGCCCAGAGGGGCCAGUGAAGCCAGGCAGCCCCGAAAUGCUGUGGAAGCCAGUGAAAGGAGGGGCCCUUUCUCCUGGAGGUGGCCUCCGUGUGCUACCAAGAACCGUCACUGCAAGUGGGAGGGAGGAACAGUACCUGUGCAAUUGAAAUUUUUACAAUUAAAAAG
RNAcentral lists this long non-coding RNA (553 nucleotides) under Equus caballus (horse). RNAcentral's name for it is "lncRNA (ENSECAG00000044311.1)". The record is from RNAcentral. Lineage: Eukaryota; Metazoa; Chordata; Mammalia; Perissodactyla; Equidae.